GAUGAACGCUGGCGGCGUGCCUAAUACAUGCAAGUAGAACGCUGAAGGAGGAGCUUGCUCUUCUGGAUGAGUUGCGAACGGGUGAGUAACGCGUAGGUAACCUGCCUGGUAGCGGGGGAUAACUAUUGGAAACGAUAGCUAAUACCGCAUGACAACAGUUAUUGCAUGAUAACUGUUUAAAAGGGGCAACUGCUCCACUACCAGAUGGACCUGCGUUGUAUUAGCUAGUUGGUGAGGUAACGGCUCACCAAGGCGACGAUACAUAGCCGACCUGAGAGGGUGAUCGGCCACACUGGGAAUGAGACACGGCCCAGACUCCUACGGGAGGCAGCAGUAGGGAAUCUUCGGCAAUGGACGGAAGUCUGACCGAGCAACGCCGCGUGAGUGAAGAAGGGUUUCGGAUCGUAAAGCUCGGUUGUAAGAGAAGAACGAGUGUGAGAGUGGAAAGUUCACACUGUGACGGUAGCUUAACAGAAAGGGACGGCUAACUACGUG
This 495-nucleotide ribosomal RNA is filed under the name uncultured bacterium. Its description in RNAcentral is "partial 16S ribosomal RNA". It matches the Rfam family "Bacterial small subunit ribosomal RNA", at positions 28 to 507 of the family's 1533-position model. The record is from RNAcentral.